This 324-nucleotide ribosomal RNA is filed under the name uncultured bacterium. RNAcentral's name for it is "bacterial SSU rRNA". It matches the Rfam family "Bacterial small subunit ribosomal RNA", at positions 471 to 793 of the family's 1533-position model. The record is from RNAcentral.
GACGUUUAGCAACAGAAGAAGCACCGGCUAACUCCGUGCCAGCAGCCGCGGUAAUACGGAGGGUGCGAGCGUUAAUCGGAAUUACUGGGCGUAAAGCGCAUGCAGGUGGUUUGUUAAGUCAGAUGUGAAAGCCCGGGGCUCAACCUCGGAACUGCAUUUGAAACUGGCAGACUAGAGUACUGUAGAGGGGGUAGAAUUUCAGGUGUAGCGGUGAAAUGCGUAGAGAUCUGAAGGAAUACCGGUGGCGAAGGCGGCCCCCUGGACAGAUACUGACACUCAGAUGCGAAAGCGUGGGGAGCAAACAGGAUUAGAUACCCUCGGGAG